This 497-nucleotide ribosomal RNA is filed under the name uncultured bacterium. RNAcentral describes it as "partial 16S ribosomal RNA". It matches the Rfam family "Bacterial small subunit ribosomal RNA", at positions 28 to 507 of the family's 1533-position model. The record is from RNAcentral.
GAUGAACGCUGGCGGCGUGCCUAAUACAUGCCAGUCGAGCGAACAGACGAGGAGCUUGCUCCUCUGACGUUAGCGGCGGACGGGUGAGUAACACGUGGAUAACCUACCUAUAAGACUGGGAUAACUUCGGGAAACCGGAGCUAAUACCGGAUAAUAUAUUGAACCGCAUGGUUCAAUAGUGAAAGACGGUUUUGCUGUCACUUAUAGAUGGAUCCGCGCCGCAUUAGCUAGUUGGUAAGGUAACGGCUUACCAAGGCAACGAUGCGUAGCCGACCUGAGAGGGUGAUCGGCCACACUGGAACUGAGACACGGUCCAGACUCCUACGGGAGGCAGCAGUAGGGAAUCUUCCGCAAUGGGCGAAAGCCUGACGGAGCAACGCCGCGUGAGUGAUGAAGGUCUUCGGAUCGUAAAACUCUGUUAUUAGGGAAGAACAAAUGGGUAAGUAACUAUGCACGUCUUGACGGUACCUAAUCAGAAAGCCACGGCUAACUACGUG